AUACGGAGGGUGCGAGCGUUAAUCGGAAUUACUGGGCGUAAAGGGCACGUAGGCGGCUUAAUAAGUCAGAUGUGAAAGCCCUGGGCUUAACCUGGGAACUGCAUUUGAAACGGUUAGGCUAGAGUUUGAUAGAGGGGAGUGGAAUUUCCGGUGUAGCGGUGAAAUGCGUAGAGAUCGGAAGGAACACCAGUGGCGAAGGCGACUCCCUGGAUUAAAACUGACGCUGAGGUGCGAAAGCGUGGGUAGCAAACAGGAUUAGAAACCCCGGUAGUCC
This 274-nucleotide ribosomal RNA is filed under the name uncultured bacterium. Its description in RNAcentral is "partial 16S ribosomal RNA". It matches the Rfam family "Bacterial small subunit ribosomal RNA", at positions 523 to 796 of the family's 1533-position model. The record is from RNAcentral.